RNAcentral lists this ribosomal RNA (756 nucleotides) under Ruegeria sp. Rg226. RNAcentral's name for it is "bacterial SSU rRNA". It matches the Rfam family "Bacterial small subunit ribosomal RNA", at positions 64 to 869 of the family's 1533-position model. The record is from RNAcentral. Lineage: Bacteria; Pseudomonadati; Pseudomonadota; Alphaproteobacteria; Rhodobacterales; Roseobacteraceae.
GAGCGCACCUUCGGGUGAGCGGCGGACGGGUUAGUAACGCGUGGGAACAUACCCUUUGGUACGGAAUAGCCUCUGGAAACGGAGAGUAAUACCGUAUGAGCCCUUCGGGGGAAAGAUUUAUCGCCAAAGGAUUGGCCCGCGUUAGAUUAGGUAGUUGGUGGGGUAAUGGCCUACCAAGCCUACGAUCUAUAGCUGGUUUUAGAGGAUGAUCAGCAACACUGGGACUGAGACACGGCCCAGACUCCUACGGGAGGCAGCAGUGGGGAAUCUUGGACAAUGGGGGCAACCCUGAUCCAGCCAUGCCGCGUGAGUGAUGAAGGCCUUAGGGUCGUAAAGCUCUUUCGCCUGUGAAGAUAAUGACGGUAGCAGGUAAAGAAACCCCGGCUAACUCCGUGCCAGCAGCCGCGGUAAUACGGAGGGGGUUAGCGUUGUUCGGAAUUACUGGGCGUAAAGCGCACGUAGGCGGACUGGAAAGUUGGGGGUGAAAUCCCAGGGCUCAACCCUGGAACUGCCUCCAAAACUAUCAGUCUAGAGUUCGAGAGAGGUGAGUGGAAUUCCGAGUGUAGAGGUGAAAUUCGUAGAUAUUCGGAGGAACACCAGUGGCGAAGGCGGCUCACUGGCUCGAUACUGACGCUGAGGUGCGAAAGUGUGGGGAGCAAACAGGAUUAGAUACCCUGGUAGUCCACACCGUAAACGAUGAAUGCCAGUCGUCGGGUAGCAUGCUAUUCGGUGACACACCUAACGGAUUAAGCAUUC